GACAGAGGAGCCAAGCGUUGUUCGGAAUUACUGGGCGUAAAGGGCUCGUAGGCGGCCAACUAAGUCGGACGUGAAAUCCCUCAGCUUAACUGGGGAACUGCGUCCGAUACUGGAUGGCUUGGAUUUGGGAGAGGGAUGCGGAAUUCCAGGUGUAGCGGUGAAAUGCGUAGAUAUCUGGAGGAACACCGGUGGCGAAGGCGGCAUCCUGGACCAAUAUUGACGCUGAGGAGCGAAAGCCAGGGGAGCAAACGGG
Molecule: ribosomal RNA, 253 nt
Filed under: uncultured bacterium
Lineage: Bacteria
Description: partial 16S ribosomal RNA
Rfam family: Bacterial small subunit ribosomal RNA
Source: RNAcentral